RNAcentral lists this ribosomal RNA (252 nucleotides) under uncultured bacterium. Its description in RNAcentral is "partial 16S ribosomal RNA". It matches the Rfam family "Bacterial small subunit ribosomal RNA", at positions 524 to 776 of the family's 1533-position model. The record is from RNAcentral.
UACGUAGGGGGCAAGCGUUGUCCGGAAUUAUUGGGCGUAAAGCGCGCGCAGGCGGUGAGUUAAGUCUGGUGUAUAAACUUAAGGCUCAACCUUAAGGUGCAUUGGAAACUGGCUGACUGGAGUGUAGGAGAGGGAAGUGGAAUUCCACGUGUAGCGGUGAAAUGCGUAGAGAUGUGGAGGAACACCAGUGGCGAAGGCGACUUCCUGGCCUAUAACUGACGCUGAGGCGCGAAAGCGUGGGGAGCAAACAGG